ACUGCGCUAGGGAUUGCAGCGGCAUCCUUUUUUUGUUCUUUUUCUGAACAAAAAAAGAUAUAGCGGAAAGCCCGCUCGAGC
RNAcentral lists this small RNA (81 nucleotides) under Gelidibacter algens. RNAcentral's name for it is "Flavo-1 RNA". It matches the Rfam family "Flavo-1 RNA". Lineage: Bacteria; Pseudomonadati; Bacteroidota; Flavobacteriia; Flavobacteriales; Flavobacteriaceae. The record is from Rfam by way of RNAcentral.